This is a long non-coding RNA of Leopardus geoffroyi (Geoffroy's cat), 3189 nucleotides long. RefSeq lists it as uncharacterized. Lineage: Eukaryota; Metazoa; Chordata; Mammalia; Carnivora; Felidae. The transcript has 3 exons. The record is from RefSeq and is a predicted model, not a curated record.
UGUUUAUUUCGCACCUUCGGCUGUCUUUGGGGCAGCGCACAGCUCCUCUGACUCAGUGGAACUGGCCGGGCGACCGUCUCCUCUCUGAGGGUGAGUACAGGGGAAGUGUGGGUGAGCCACUCAGCCCCGGCAAAGCGGGGACGUCGAGUGGGGUAGAGCGGAGAGCGUGCUGCCUGCCAGACCCCCACGGGCCUGCGUGUUUGAAUCCUGCCUCCGGCCUUUACUGGAGGGGGGAUCUGGGGCACAUCUCCUAAUCUCAAGGCAUCCCUUUUCCUGCUUUGAAGGGGGGACGCAGGCUUCCGCGUGGUUUGGAAGGGAGCUACCUGGGCCCGGCCACACGAAGAGCCCUCGCCGGGUGGCUGCCCCUUUCGCUGUUUUCCUGGCGGCGCUUUUGGAAGUGUGCUCUUCGGUGGAAUGUGGUCCUCUCGGCUUAGCUAUGACUUUUAUUCCAGUGGGAGGUUUUCAGGGUCCUUUGAAUCUCGUGGCCUUUGGCAGCUUCCCUUUUUACACCAGGAUAUCGUCUCAGGACAUUUCAGUGAUCUUAGCAAAGAGUUGCCCACCGUUUGGGUUUUCCAGAGGUUUGUAAACAUGAAUAAUUGGCGUGAAGAUGCCCCCCCCCCCCGCCCCCAAUACAUUCUCCUAAAGUUGCUGUGGUCGGUAAGAACAGCAGCCAGGUUCGUGGUCAGCUCGUGUGGCUGCAGGAAGCAGCGACGACAGAUGCUGUCUGUGCCCCUUGGUGCCCACGGUCAGGGGGCAGACGCGUGCUGGGAGGUGUUUACGACCGACGUUCUCUCGUUUUGGCUGCCUUGCCUCUUGGUCAGAGACCUAAAGGUUACCAUGUCCGCCCCAGACGUCCAGCCAGGCCCCAUCAAGGGAGAACUUCCGUUUUUUGAAAGGCUACUUCCCUUGCUGGUCUCGGCGUUGUGUGUCCAGAAAAGCUUUUUCUUGGCUGUUAAGAAUCUGUUAACUCUAAGUGGCCCUUCUCUUCUGCUAGCACAUUAGAACGUCCCGAAGCCGUCACUGGACUCGACCGUGAGUCGUGGCCACGGACACGCACGUUUUCCUGCAAGACUGAAGGGGGUAUUUGCACAUUGGUGCGACCUUUCCGGUGGGCGGUGUGACAAGGUCCGUCUGGAGUCUUGAAUGUCCUUACCUUUUGGCCCAGGGUCUUCACCUCUGGGAAUUGUGCCCCAAGGAAACUGGUAGAAGAACUCUUCAGGAACGAGAAGAGGGAAGAUUAGUCUAGCAGGAUGAGACCAUUUUUCAGAGGGCUCAAGCGAAUUGCCUAAAGCCACGCAGCAAGCUUGAAGGACCCAAUUCUCAUUCUCAGACCUGUGCUCUCCACCUGGCUAUAUUCAGUGACCCUGGAUUGUGGCUUUUGACCUGGCCACGAAUCUGGAGGCCCCCGGAAGGCAAGGAGUAGUAGCAUCUGUCUUAGGGAAGGAAGGUUUAUGGGCAAGAGGAGAGCCACCCAUCGCUGGGCCAGUCAGAGAUGAGCCCUGCAUUUCUUUCAGUGCCUCCGCUGAGCACCCACACUCUGCUGCGACUCUGCUCUUUAUACACCUUCACCCCUGCUUUUCCACUAACGAGGCGUGAGCGCUUUGCACGGCGUGACUUUAACACCUGCCUCACGCUUCAUCAGGGGGCAGCCUUCCGUGAGUUUGGGACUGGUCUGCUUUUUCCCACCGUUUCUCUCACCUUAAGUAUAAUUGCUCCCGUCUUGGAAGGCAUUUUUGGGGAGUGUUUUCCGGGGCCCCACUUGCAGGAGUGGAAACCCGCUCACUGUGAAUGCUUGGAUCUCACAGGUGUUAGGUGCCAUGAGAUGUGGCUUUAUGGGCUCCGCACAGACCGCGCCAGCCAGAGCGCUCUUAGCAAUGUCUGUUCCUCUGCGAGGUCCGCUCAGCUAUGCGAGUCUUCCCUUGAAAGGGUUUGCCGGCCCCCGGUUAUUCCCUUUUUACACAGAGCGCUUCAGCCAGCACGAUCACAGGCCAGGCGCCGAGACAGAGAGCUGGGCCUUCUUCCGGCUGCCCGGACCUGGGUCUGCCACCGACGCUGUGUGACCUGGAGCGAGGCACGGCCUCGCUUUGAGCCUCAGUUUCCCCACCUCCAAAGACGGCUCUGGGCAGUACGUGAGCCGAUACGAUGCGCAGCGUCUGGCCUGUGGCAGAGGCCAAGGACCAUGGUAAGCGUUUGUACUGCUCGACUUUGCAGGUGAGGAAGCCGAGGCUCGAGAGAAGCGACUUGCCCAAGGUCACACAGGUCGUACGAGGCCAGUUAUCCGCCCCGCUCCCCAGCCUUUCGAGUUGUCCCCUGUAGGGCCCUGCUCCCAGAUGGUUUGCAAAGCUCACAGAUGGCAUAACGGACCAGGUAGUUUCCUUUUCCCCAGGCUGUGCCCGACCCUCCAGAGAAGCAGCAUGUGGUGGCAUCUGGGAGGGGGAGGAAGGGAUACAUCUGGGGAGUGUGGGGGUCUGCAUCUGCCCCCCCUGACCCUGCCCCCUCGGCCAGUCCUUCCACCCCAGUGCCGCGGAUGGGGGUAACAGCCUCUGAUAGCCCAUUCAGAGUUUAGCAAACGGCCGGCUCUCCUGGCCCCCUGGCCUGGAAGGGGCCAGGGACAUACCCAGUUUUAAGCCUGAAAGUUCUGCAUCCCCAGAACCCGGUCGGUCUCCGGCAGACCAGGAAGGGAGACCGCCCUCCCCUUGUCCUCUGCGUCUUCAGGACCUCACUGCUGGUGUCAGAACUGUGGAUCUGGUAACGGAUUCUGGUUCAGGAUGAGCUGAUCUGAGGGGUGGGGACCCAAGGCUGUUCCCAGAGGAGGGGCUGUCCUGUCUCUGACAUGCUUGUGAAUGCGGGCUAAAACAUUGAUCUGGAGCUCCUAUAACCUGAGAGUGGCCUCCAGCCCCGACGUGGGUCUGUUUCGAGCUUCUCAGUCCCUGUUCCUGAGAGCUGGCUACUUCCAAACCUGCUGGGGAAGGGUGGGAAGUUCUAACAUUCUUACCUCCCUUUUUGGGGCCUCGGUUUCCCUGUCUCUGCAGACCGGGGGAGUUUUUGGUCCCUUCCAGGAUGGAGGCCCCAGUGGUGAAUACCCACUGGGUUUCCAGUUUCCAUUAAAAACAUUUUUUUAAUGUUUAUUUAUUUUUGAGAGAGAGAGAGAGAGAGAGGCAGAGAGAGAGGGAGACACAGAAUGCGAAG